This 468-nucleotide ribosomal RNA is filed under the name uncultured bacterium. RNAcentral's name for it is "partial 16S ribosomal RNA". It matches the Rfam family "Bacterial small subunit ribosomal RNA", at positions 28 to 507 of the family's 1533-position model. The record is from RNAcentral.
GACGAACGCUGGCGGCGUGCUUAACACAUGCCAGUCGAACGGAAAGGCCCUGCUUUUGUGGGGUGCUCGAGUGGCGAACGGGUGAGUAACACGUGAGUAACCUGCCCUUGACUUUGGGAUAACUUCAGGAAACUGGGGCUAAUACCGGAUAGGAGCUCCUGCUGCAUGGUGGGGGUUGGAAAGUUUCUGCGGUUGGGGAUGGACGCGCGGCUUAUCAGCUUGUUGGUGGGGUAGUGGCUUACCAAGGCUUUGACGGGUAGGCGGCCUGAGAGGGUGACCGGCCACAUUGGGACUGCGAUACGGCGCAGACUCCUACAGGAGGCAGCAGUGGGGAAUAUUGCACAAUGGGCGGAAGCCUGAUGCAGCAACGCCGCGGGCGUGAUGACGGCCUUCGGGUUGUAAACCGCUUUCGCUCGUGACGAAGCGUGAGUGACGGUAAUGGGUAAAGAAGCACCGGCUAACUACGUG